RNAcentral lists this ribosomal RNA (497 nucleotides) under uncultured bacterium. RNAcentral's name for it is "partial 16S ribosomal RNA". It matches the Rfam family "Bacterial small subunit ribosomal RNA", at positions 28 to 507 of the family's 1533-position model. The record is from RNAcentral.
GACGAACGCUGGCGGCGUGCCUAAUACAUGCAAGUUGAGCGAUGAAGCUUGGUGCUUGCACCAAUUUGAAGAGCAGCGAACGGGUGAGUAACGCGUGGGGAAUCUGCCUUUGAGCGGGGGACAACAUUUGGAAACGAAUGCUAAUACCGCAUAAUAACUUUAAACAUAAGUUUUAAGAUUGAAAGAUGCAAUUGCAUCACUCAAAGAUGAUCCCGCGUUGUAUUAGCUAGUUGGUGAGGUAAAGGCUUACCAAGGCGAUGAUACAUAGCCGACCCGAGAGGGUGGUCCGCCCCAUUGGGACCGGGACACGGCCCAAACUCCUACGGGAGGCAGCAGUAGGGAAUCUUCGGCAAUGGACGGAAGUCUGGCCGAGCAACGCCGCGUGAGGGAAGAAGGGUUUCGGAUCGUAAAACUUUGUUGGUAGGGGAGAAAGUUGGUGAGAGUGGAAAGCUCAUCAAGUGACGGUAACUACCCAGAAAGGGACGGCUAACUACGUG